This 253-nucleotide ribosomal RNA is filed under the name uncultured bacterium. Its description in RNAcentral is "partial 16S ribosomal RNA". It matches the Rfam family "Bacterial small subunit ribosomal RNA", at positions 524 to 776 of the family's 1533-position model. The record is from RNAcentral.
CACGUAGGGUGCGAGCGUUGUCCGGAAUUAUUGGGCGUAAAGAGCUCGUAGGCGGUCUGUCGCGUCGGAUGUGAAAACUCGGGGCUCAACCCCGGGCCUGCAUUCGAUACGGGCAGACUAGAGUACGGCAGGGGAGACUGGAAUUCCUGGUGUAGCGGUGAAAUGCGCAGAUAUCAGGAGGAACACCGGUGGCGAAGGCGGGUCUCUGGGCCGAAACUGACGCUGAGGAGCGAAAGCGUGGGGAGCAAACAGG